RNAcentral lists this ribosomal RNA (250 nucleotides) under uncultured prokaryote. RNAcentral's name for it is "partial 16S ribosomal RNA". It matches the Rfam family "Bacterial small subunit ribosomal RNA", at positions 524 to 773 of the family's 1533-position model. The record is from RNAcentral.
UACGUAGGGAGCAAGCGUUAUCCGGAAUGACUGGGCGUAAAGGGCGCGUAGGCGGCUAAGUAAGUUAGGAGUGAAAUUCCAGUUUUCAAGGUUGGAACUGCUUUUAAUACUGCUGAGCUUGAGUGCAGAAGAGGUAAGCGGAAUUCCCAGUGUAGCGGUGAAAUGCGUAGAGAUUGGGAAGAACACCAGUGGCGAAGGCGGCUUACUGGGCUGUAACUGACGCUGAGGCGCGAAAGCGUGGGGAGCGAGC